Small nucleolar RNA from Myotis lucifugus (little brown bat), 92 nucleotides. Lineage: Eukaryota; Metazoa; Chordata; Mammalia; Chiroptera; Vespertilionidae. The record is from Ensembl.
GGGCCCCUAUGAUGUUUAGCACUGGGCUCUGACUUCACUUGAAGACACGGUGCCCCCCCAGGACCUUUGACACCUGGGGGUCUGAGGGGCCC